AAAAAGAACCUGAAACCGUGUACGUACAAGCAGUGGGAGCACCUUCGGGUGUGACUGCGUACCUUUUGUAUAAUGGGUCAGCGACUUAUAUUCUGUAGCAAGGUUAACCGUAUAGGGGAGCCGCAGGGAAACCGAGUCUUAACUGGGCGUUAAGUUGCAGGGUAUAGACCCGAAACCGGUGAUCUAGCCAUGGGCAGGUUGAAGGUUGGGUAACACUAACUGGAGGACCGAACCGAC
Molecule: ribosomal RNA, 237 nt
Filed under: Klebsiella pneumoniae
Lineage: Bacteria; Pseudomonadati; Pseudomonadota; Gammaproteobacteria; Enterobacterales; Enterobacteriaceae
Description: partial 23S ribosomal RNA
Rfam family: Bacterial large subunit ribosomal RNA
Source: RNAcentral